Molecule: long non-coding RNA, 180 nt
Organism: Melospiza melodia melodia
Lineage: Eukaryota; Metazoa; Chordata; Aves; Passeriformes; Passerellidae
Exons: 3
Source: RefSeq, a predicted model, not a curated record
GCACCGUGGGGAGCUGCUCAUGCCCUGCUCAAGCAUGGCUGGAGGAGACAGCAAAAGAAUGAUGCUGCCCUUGGGCACCCGUUGGAUGUGGGUCUUCCUGGUCCUGCUCCUGCUUUGUAGCAUCCACUCACUUCUCGCGGCACCGAUUCAGCCUGAUUCAGAGCAGAGUGCAGAGGAACC